GAUGAACGCUGGCGGCGUGCUUAACACAUGCAAGUCGAACGGGAAACCUUUUAUUGAAGCUUCGGCAGAUUUAGAUUGUUUCUAGUGGCGGACGGGUGAGUAACGCGUGGGUAACCUGCCUUAUACAGGGGGAUAACAGUCAGAAAUGACUGCUAAUACCGCAUAAGCGCACAGAGCUGCAUGGCUCGGUGUGAAAAACUCCGGUGGUAUAAGAUGGACCCGCGUUGGAUUAGCUAGUUGGUGAGGUAACGGCCCACCAAGGCGACGAUCCAUAGCCGGCCUGAGAGGGUGAACGGCCACAUUGGGACUGAGACACGGCCCAGACUCCUACGGGAGGCAGCAGUGGGGAAUAUUGCACAAUGGGGGAAACCCUGAUGCAGCGACGCCGCGUGAAGGAAGAAGUAUCUCGGUAUGUAAACUUCUAUCAGCAGGGAAGAAAAUGACG
RNAcentral lists this ribosomal RNA (445 nucleotides) under uncultured bacterium. RNAcentral's name for it is "bacterial SSU rRNA". It matches the Rfam family "Bacterial small subunit ribosomal RNA", at positions 28 to 456 of the family's 1533-position model. The record is from RNAcentral.